CCUACGGGGGGCUGCAGUCGAGAAUCAUUCACAAUGGGGGAAACCCUGAUGGUGCGACGCCGCGUGGGGGAAUGAAGGUCUUCGGAUUGUAAACCCCUGUCAUGUGGGAGCAAAUUAAAAAGAUAGUACCACAAGAGGAAGAGACGGCUAACUCUGUGCCAGCAGCCGCGGUAAUACAGAGGUCUCAAGCGUUGUUCGGAAUCACGGGGCGUAAAGCGUGCGUAGGCUGUUUCGUAAGUCGUGUGUGAAAGGCGCGGACUCAACCCGCGGACGGCACAUGAUACUGCGAGACUAGAGUAAUGGAGGGGGAACCGGAAUUCUCGGUGUAGCAGUGAAAUGCGUAGAUAUCGAGAGGAACACUCGUGGCGAAGGCGGGUUCCUGGACAUUAACUGACGCUGAGGCACGAAGGCCAGGGGAGCGAAAGGGAUUAGAUACCCCUGUAGUC
RNAcentral lists this ribosomal RNA (446 nucleotides) under uncultured bacterium. Its description in RNAcentral is "partial 16S ribosomal RNA". It matches the Rfam family "Bacterial small subunit ribosomal RNA", at positions 338 to 795 of the family's 1533-position model. The record is from RNAcentral.